GAGCUUGUUUUGGCAGCACAUGUACUAAAAUUGGAACUAUACAGAGAAGAUUAGCAUGGCUCCUGGAGAAGGGUGACACCCAAAUAUCUGUGAAGCUGCUCCAUAAA
Molecule: small nuclear RNA, 107 nt
Filed under: Castor canadensis (American beaver)
Lineage: Eukaryota; Metazoa; Chordata; Mammalia; Rodentia; Castoridae
Source: RNAcentral